GUCACAGUGGAUAGUAGGGGUAUACAUUUCAUACAUAAAUGGUUAUAAAAUAUUGCAUAUUUGACCGGGUCUUGUUCACAGUAUUACAAUAUUUGGUUGUCCUAUUUGUAUCUUGACCUUAAACAUCCAUCAAUUUAUUCUAUAUACAGUGUAUAGUCAUUUGAUCUAGUUAUAAGCAAGAAUCAUACAAUGGAAAACUACUGCAUACAUUGUCUUAUAAUCUAAAAUAGGUUCCCAUUUGGAAUUUAGUCACUUUAUAUAUAUAUACAUGUAAGCAG
RNAcentral lists this long non-coding RNA (278 nucleotides) under Mytilus galloprovincialis (Mediterranean mussel). Lineage: Eukaryota; Metazoa; Mollusca; Bivalvia; Mytilida; Mytilidae. The record is from RNAcentral.